This 252-nucleotide ribosomal RNA is filed under the name uncultured bacterium. RNAcentral describes it as "partial 16S ribosomal RNA". It matches the Rfam family "Bacterial small subunit ribosomal RNA", at positions 30 to 289 of the family's 1533-position model. The record is from RNAcentral.
UUGAACGCUGGCGGCAUGCCUUACACAUGCAAGUCGAACGGUAGAGGGGCAACCCUUGAGAGUGGCGAACGGGUGAGUAAUAUAUCGGAACGUGCCCAGUCGUGGGGGAUAACGCAGCGAAAGCUGCGCUAAUACCGCAUACGAUCUAUGGAUGGAAGCGGGGGAUCGCAAGACCUCGCGCGAUUGGAGCGGCCGAUAUCAGAUUAGGUAGUUGGUGGGGUAAAAGCCCACCAAGCCGACGAUCUGUAGCUG